Long non-coding RNA from Salvia splendens (bonfire salvia), 431 nucleotides. RefSeq lists it as uncharacterized. The transcript has 2 exons. The record is from RefSeq and is a predicted model, not a curated record. Lineage: Eukaryota; Viridiplantae; Streptophyta; Magnoliopsida; Lamiales; Lamiaceae.
ACUAUAAAUUUAUCACCAAAUGCAACACAACAUCACAUCCAAAAACACUCAACAAAAUUUUAACUUCAAAGCAUGGGUAGGAAAAUACUUGUUUUUCUUUUGGUUGUAAUUGUUCUCAUAAUGUCCCCCCAACCCCAAGUAGCUUUUGCCAGGAAGCUUGUGGGGAAUACCAACACCAAAACCGAGGCGAAGAAGAAGACAUCAUCCAUCCCCUAUAAAACAUUAACUCCACAUUCCAAACCCCACCGCAAGUGUGGCUACCUCAAACUUUGCAGGCGCAACGGCGGAGGCAGGCCUCCUGCAGCCAAACCUUGACUACUCCAAGCCCCAACAACCAAAUGCUUCCAUCACAAUAUAAGUUAAAUAAUUUCAAAUAAACUGUACUACUGUGUGUAUGAUUAUCUCAAUAUAUGUAUGUUAUUUUAACGAAA